RNAcentral lists this ribosomal RNA (624 nucleotides) under Lactobacillaceae bacterium. RNAcentral describes it as "bacterial SSU rRNA". It matches the Rfam family "Bacterial small subunit ribosomal RNA", at positions 62 to 659 of the family's 1533-position model. Lineage: Bacteria; Bacillati; Bacillota; Bacilli; Lactobacillales; Lactobacillaceae. The record is from RNAcentral.
CCUAGAUGAUUUUAGUGCUUGCACUAAAUGAAACUAGAUACAAGCGAGCGGCGGACGGGUGAGUAACACGUGGGUAACCUGCCCAAGAGACUGGGAUAACACCUGGAAACAGAUGCUAAUACCGGAUAACAACACUAGACGCAUGUCUAGAGUUUGAAAGAUGGUUCUGCUAUCACUCUUGGAUGGACCUGCGGUGCAUUAGCUAGUUGGUAAGGUAACGGCUUACCAAGGCAAUGAUGCAUAGCCGAGUUGAGAGACUGAUCGGCCACAUUGGGACUGAGACACGGCCCAAACUCCUACGGGAGGCAGCAGUAGGGAAUCUUCCACAAUGGACGAAAGUCUGAUGGAGCAACGCCGCGUGAGUGAAGAAGGGUUUCGGCUCGUAAAGCUCUGUUGGUAGUGAAGAAAGAUAGAGGUAGUAACUGGCCUUUAUUUGACGGUAAUUACUUAGAAAGUCACGGCUAACUACGUGCCAGCAGCCGCGGUAAUACGUAGGUGGCAAGCGUUGUCCGGAUUUAUUGGGCGUAAAGCGAGUGCAGGCGGUUCAAUAAGUCUGAUGUGAAAGCCUUCGGCUCAACCGGAGAAUUGCAUCAGAAACUGUUGAACUUGAGUGCAGAAGAGGAG